GACGAACGCUGGCGGCGUGCCUAAUACAUGCAAGUAGAACGCUGAAGGAGGAGCUUGCUCUUCUGGAUGAGUUGCGAACGGGUGAGUAACGCGUAGGUAACCUGCCUGGUAGCGGGGGAUAACUAUUGGAAACGAUAGCUAAUACCGCAUAAGAGUAGAUGUUGCAUGACAUUUACUUAAAAGGUGCAAUUGCAUCACUACCAGAUGGACCUGCGUUGUAUUAGCUAGUUGGUGGGGUAACGGCUUACCAAGGCGACGAUACAUAGCCGACCUGAGAGGGCGAUCGGCCACACUGGGACUGAGACACGGCCCAGACUCCUACGGGAGGCAGCAGUAGGGAAUCUUCGGCAAUGGACGGAAGUCUGACCGAGCAACGCCGCGUGAGUGAAGAAGGUUUUCGGAUCGUAAAGCUCUGUUGUAAGAGAAGAACGAGUGUGAGAGUGGAAAGUUCACACUGUGACGGUAUCUUACCAGAAAGAGACGGCUAACUACGUG
Molecule: ribosomal RNA, 495 nt
Filed under: uncultured bacterium
Lineage: Bacteria
Description: partial 16S ribosomal RNA
Rfam family: Bacterial small subunit ribosomal RNA
Source: RNAcentral